Molecule: ribosomal RNA, 330 nt
Filed under: uncultured Syntrophomonas sp.
Lineage: Bacteria; Bacillati; Bacillota; Clostridia; Eubacteriales; Syntrophomonadaceae
Description: bacterial SSU rRNA
Rfam family: Bacterial small subunit ribosomal RNA
Source: RNAcentral
GUCGUCAGCUCGUGUCGUGAGAUGUUGGUUAAGUCCCGCAACGAGCGCAACCCUUGCUAUUAGUUGCUAACAGGUAGAGCUGAGCACUCUAAUGGGACUGCCGGUGACAAGCCGGAGGAAGGUGGGAUGACGUCAAAUCAUCAUGCCCUUUAUGACCUGGGCUACACACGUGCUACAAUGGAUGGUACAGAGAGCAGCGAGGCAGCGAUGUGGAGCGAAUCUCAAAAAGCCAUUCUCAGUUCGGAUUGGAGUCUGCAACUCGACUCCAUGAAGUCGGAAUCGCUAGUAAUCGCGGAUCAACACGCCGCGGUGAAUACGUUCCCGGGCCUU